UACGGGGGGAGCAAGCGUUGUUCGGAUUUACUGGGCGUAAAGGGCGCGUAGGCGGUCAGCACAAGUCAGUUGUGAAAUCUCCGGGCUUAACUCGGAAAGGUCAACUGAUACUGUGCGACUAGAGUGCAGAAGGGGGCAACUGGAAUUCUCGGUGUAGCGGUGAAAUGCGCAGAUAUCAGGAGGAACACCAAUGGCGAAGGCAGCUCGCUGGGACGGUACUGACGCUGAGGCGCGAAAGCGUGGGGAGCAAACAGG
RNAcentral lists this ribosomal RNA (255 nucleotides) under uncultured bacterium. RNAcentral describes it as "partial 16S ribosomal RNA". It matches the Rfam family "Bacterial small subunit ribosomal RNA", at positions 524 to 776 of the family's 1533-position model. The record is from RNAcentral.